This 82-nucleotide non-coding RNA is filed under the name Halomicronema hongdechloris. RNAcentral describes it as "Glutamine-I sequence". It matches the Rfam family "Glutamine riboswitch aptamer (glnA leader)". Lineage: Bacteria; Bacillati; Cyanobacteriota; Cyanophyceae; Nodosilineales; Nodosilineaceae. RNAcentral also lists the same sequence under 1 other name. The record is from RNAcentral.
AUCGUUCAUCUUCUAGAGCCUAUCAAUAAACACGUUUAGGCAUUGGAAGACGGAAGUAGGGAAGCUCCCGAAGGAACGCGCC